This 253-nucleotide ribosomal RNA is filed under the name uncultured bacterium. Its description in RNAcentral is "partial 16S ribosomal RNA". It matches the Rfam family "Bacterial small subunit ribosomal RNA", at positions 524 to 776 of the family's 1533-position model. The record is from RNAcentral.
UACGGGGGGGGUAAGCGUUGUUCGGAAUUACUGGGCGUAAAGGGCGCGUAGGCGGCCUUCUAAGUCAGACGUGAAAUCCCUCGGCUUAACCGGGGAACUGCGUCUGAUACUGGAUGGCUUGAGUUCGGGAGAGGGAUGCGGAAUUCCAGGUGUAGCGGUGAAAUGCGUAGAUAUCUGGAGGAACACCGGUGGCGAAGGCGGCAUCCUGGACCGACACUGACACUGAGGAGCGAAAGCCAGGGGAGCAAACGGG